UAGGGAAUCUUCCACAAUGGACGAAAGUCUGAUGGAGCAACGCCGCGUGAGUGAAGAGGGUUUUCGGAUCGUAAAGCUCUGUUGUUGGUGAAGAAGGAUAGAGGCAGUAACUGGUCUUUAUUUGACGGUAAUCAACCAGAAAGUCACGGCUAACUACGUGCCAG
RNAcentral lists this ribosomal RNA (164 nucleotides) under uncultured bacterium. RNAcentral's name for it is "partial 16S rRNA". It matches the Rfam family "Bacterial small subunit ribosomal RNA", at positions 355 to 511 of the family's 1533-position model. The record is from RNAcentral.